UGGCUCAGAUGGUAAAGCGUCUGCCUGCAAUGCAGGAGACCCGGGUUCAAUUCCUGG
This 57-nucleotide transfer RNA is filed under the name Ovis aries (sheep). It matches the Rfam family "tRNA", at positions 8 to 63 of the family's 71-position model. From Rfam's summary of the family: Transfer RNA (tRNA) molecules are approximately 80 nucleotides in length. Lineage: Eukaryota; Metazoa; Chordata; Mammalia; Artiodactyla; Bovidae. The record is from Rfam by way of RNAcentral.